This is a non-coding RNA of Gorilla gorilla gorilla (western lowland gorilla), 148 nucleotides long. It matches the Rfam family "Metazoan signal recognition particle RNA". From Rfam's summary of the family: The signal recognition particle (SRP) is a universally conserved ribonucleoprotein. It is involved in the co-translational targeting of proteins to membranes. NCBI's taxonomy places the organism in Eukaryota, Metazoa, Chordata, Mammalia, Primates, Hominidae. The record is from Rfam.
GCCGGGUGUGGUGGUGUGUGCCUGUAGUCCGAGCUACUCGGGAGGCUGAGGCAUGAGAAUUGCUUGAGCCCAGGAGUUGCAGGUUGCAGUGAGCCAAGAUUGCACCACUGCACUCCAGCCUGGGCAACACAGUGAGACCUUGUCUCAA